GCUUCUCAAAGCUUUGAUAGUGUAGCCGAAGUCCGUAUGAGUCUUUGGCUUUGUAUCUCCUAAUAAGGAACCACUACUUUAGCUUAGUGUAGCCGAAGUCCGUAUGAGUCUUUGGCUUUGUAUCUCCUAAUAAGGAACCACUACUUUAGC
Molecule: small RNA, 150 nt
Filed under: Arabidopsis thaliana (thale cress)
Lineage: Eukaryota; Viridiplantae; Streptophyta; Magnoliopsida; Brassicales; Brassicaceae
Description: ATSL199270
Source: RNAcentral